CAGCAGCCGCGGUAAUACGUAGGGUGCAAGCGUUAAUCGGAAUUACUGGGCGUAAAGCGUGCGCAGGCGGUUCUAUAAGACAGAUGUGAAAUCCCCGGGCUCAACCUGGGAACUGCAUUUGUGACUGUAGAGCUGGAGUGCGGCAGAGGGGGAUGGAAUUCCGCGUGUAGCAGUGAAAUGCGUAGAUAUGCGGAGGAACACCGAUGGCGAAGGCAAUCCCCUGGGCCUGCACUGACGCUCAUGCACGGAAGCGUGGGGAGCAAACAGGAUUAGAUACCCCCGUAGUCCCUGUCUCUUAUAC
This 301-nucleotide ribosomal RNA is filed under the name uncultured bacterium. Its description in RNAcentral is "partial 16S ribosomal RNA". It matches the Rfam family "Bacterial small subunit ribosomal RNA", at positions 509 to 807 of the family's 1533-position model. The record is from RNAcentral.